UGACUGCUAACUGGACUCCCGAGAAAAUCUAGCUCUCCUCGGAUUUGAGUUUGGGUCACUUUGUUCUUUGUCAGAGUCUUUUACUGGUGACAGAGAGUCUCUGUUAACCUUGUCCCUCCUCUGGAGUCAAGUGACAGCUUAGCCACUGAAGAAAGGAUUCUCCCGAGUAGAAAUGACAGAACAUUUCCAGCUGGCACUAGCUGGAAGGUAGACAUCAUUUUUAGUGGAAGAAAGACCUUCUGGGAAGUCACAUAUGAUCUGAAGUCUUCUUUUUCUCCUAGAAAGGGGAGAGUGUGAACACAGUCCCUCACUACCACAAAUUAUGCAGUCGAGUUUCCUACAUGUGGAGCGCAAAGGGUAAGACUCGCCCUGGGAAAACCACCUUCGUGAUCAUGGUACCAUCCCUGCCAGGAACACCUGCAAAAAGAAAAUUUCACCCCCAAAAAAGGAGUGAGAUGUAAGAAGCUAUGAUGGAGAAAUCCAGCACAAAGCAGUUCUGUAAUUUUCCUGACGACACGGACACUGAAAGACAAAAACUGCUGACCAGUGGAAGCUCCAGCAAGGCAGAUGCAGUCUCAACAGAAAGAAAAACGUCUUAAUGAUGAGAUCUGUGCAAAGCAAAAUGGAGCGUGCUGGAAAUGGUCGGUGUCCCCUUGGUUGAUGUUCAAGUGGAAAUGGAAUGAAGAAAUGUUGCAGUGGAUAUUUUCACUUCAGGACAAAGUUAUUUUUAAAGUUUUUUGUUUUUUGCUUCCCGUCCUAGAGCCUAUGAUACUAUUAAAAAAAAUUAUGUGGGUAUGUCUGUUUGUAACUUUGCCAGCAAGAGUAGCUGUCUCUUAAAUGUCCUGCACAAAAUGCUCACAUUGACUGGAUCUUUCUCUCAACUUCAUUUACAAAGAUCUGUGUUAGAUUAGAAACGGAAUUUGAGCAUGGAAGAGGAACAACAAUGAACUUCAAAGCAUGAAAAGGAGAUGGAGAAAGAGAAGGCCAAAUGCAGAAAAAUGAAAGAAAGGGGAAAGACUCUAAAUUAGUGAUUGGAAAUUUCUUCUGAAUUUCUUAAUUAAAA
Long non-coding RNA from Camelus dromedarius (Arabian camel), 1063 nucleotides. RefSeq lists it as uncharacterized. The transcript has 6 exons. Lineage: Eukaryota; Metazoa; Chordata; Mammalia; Artiodactyla; Camelidae. The record is from RefSeq and is a predicted model, not a curated record.